GAAGAGAUUGGAAAGAGAUUGUUUGAGCAAUAAUGGGUAUACUGGUCUGGCUGGUUGCUCCAAGUGCUUGAACAGUCUUUAUCAACUUAGUGAGGCCAGAGUUGGAAACAAGAGCAGGUUAGAGGAUAGGACUAGGAAAAUGCGAAGCAGGGAUUGCCAAUUGAUGGGUCUAACAUGGCUUCUCAACAAAAAUCGAUCCAGUUACAUUCACACGGUUUCUUCUGUUUUAAGGGCUCUAAUGUUGACGGAAGGCAGUUCAGAUCCUCAGUCGUGCACACUCAACAGUGAUGGUAUGCCUCUUGCAGUAGACUCCACGGAGAUCAACGAUGAAUCUGCUGCAGUUUCUAUUCAAGCAUCAUUUAAUCCAUAUAUCCUAACUCUAGUUUUAGUGUACAUAAACUGUGUGUCAUUGCUCUUCAAAUAUUAGUUAAUCUCCAGC
Molecule: unclassified non-coding RNA, 439 nt
Filed under: Hevea brasiliensis (rubber tree)
Lineage: Eukaryota; Viridiplantae; Streptophyta; Magnoliopsida; Malpighiales; Euphorbiaceae
Source: RNAcentral